GACGAACGCUGGCGGCGUGCCUAAUACAUGCAAGUAGAACGCUGAAGGAGGAGCUUGCUUCUCUGGAUGAGUUGCGAACGGGUGAGUAACGCGUAGGUAACCUGCCUGGUAGCGGGGGAUAACUAUUGGAAACGAUAGCUAAUACCGCAUAAGAGAAGAUGUUGCAUGACAUUCGCUUAAAAGGUGCAAUUGCAUCACUACCAGAUGGACCUGCGUUGUAUUUGCUAGUUGGUGGGGUAACGGCUCACCAAGGCGACGAUACAUAGCCGGCCUGAGAGGGUUGUCGGCCACACUUGGACCGAGACACGGCCCAGACUCCUACGGGAGGCAGCCGUAGGGAAUCUUCGGCAAUGGACGGAAGUCUGACCGAGCCACGCCGCGUGAGUGAAGAAGGUUUUCGGAUCGUAAAGCUCUGUUGUAAGAGAAGAACGAGUGUGAGAGUGGAAAGUUCACACUGUGACGGUAUCUUACCAGAAAGGGACGGCUAACUACGUG
RNAcentral lists this ribosomal RNA (495 nucleotides) under uncultured bacterium. RNAcentral's name for it is "partial 16S ribosomal RNA". It matches the Rfam family "Bacterial small subunit ribosomal RNA", at positions 28 to 507 of the family's 1533-position model. The record is from RNAcentral.